RNAcentral lists this ribosomal RNA (550 nucleotides) under uncultured bacterium. RNAcentral's name for it is "bacterial SSU rRNA". It matches the Rfam family "Bacterial small subunit ribosomal RNA", at positions 355 to 897 of the family's 1533-position model. The record is from RNAcentral.
UGGGGAAUUUUGGACAAUGGGCGCAAGCCUGAUCCAGCCAUGCCGCGUGUCUGAAGAAGGCCUUCGGGUUGUAAAGGACUUUUGUCAGGGAAGAAAAGGCUGUUGCUAAUACCGACAGCUGAUGACGGUACCUGAAGAAUAAGCACCGGCUAACUACGUGCCAGCAGCCGCGGUAAUACGUAGGGUGCGAGCGUUAAUCGGAAUUACUGGGCGUAAAGCGAGCGCAGACGGUUACUUAAGCAGGAUGUGAAAUCCCCGGGCUCAACCUGGGAACUGCGUUCUGAACUGGGUGACUAGAGUGUGUCAGAGGGAGGUAGAAUUCCACGUGUAGCAGUGAAAUGCGUAGAGAUGUGGAGGAAUACCGAUGGCGAAGGCAGCCUCCUGGGAUAACACUGACGUUCAUGCUCGAAAGCGUGGGUAGCAAACAGGAUUAGAUACCCUGGUAGUCCACGCCCUAAACGAUGUCAAUUAGCUGUUGGGCAACUUGAUUGCUUAGUAGCGUAGCUAACGCGUGAAAUUGACCGCCUGGGGAGUACGGUCGCAAGAUUUA